GAAGCGGCGGACCCACGUCCGGCGGCGCGUUGCGCUCCCGGGCGCUUUUGCG
RNAcentral lists this small RNA (52 nucleotides) under Methylocystis bryophila. Its description in RNAcentral is "Methylocystis sp. H2s ffh sRNA". It matches the Rfam family "ffh sRNA". The record is from Rfam by way of RNAcentral. Lineage: Bacteria; Pseudomonadati; Pseudomonadota; Alphaproteobacteria; Hyphomicrobiales; Methylocystaceae.